ACACUUACCUGGCAGGGGCCACACCGUGAUCAUGAAGGUGGUUUUUCCACGGCGAGGCUCACCCAUUGCACUCGGGAUGUGCUGCCCCUGUGAUUUACUCAAAUGUGGGAAACUCGAUGGCAUAAUUUGUGCUGGGGGGGACUGCAUUCACACUUUCUCCUG
Bison bison bison is the source of this 162-nucleotide small nuclear RNA. Its record names the gene U1. It matches the Rfam family "U1 spliceosomal RNA". From Rfam's summary of the family: U1 is a small nuclear RNA (snRNA) component of the spliceosome (involved in pre-mRNA splicing). The record is from Ensembl. Lineage: Eukaryota; Metazoa; Chordata; Mammalia; Artiodactyla; Bovidae.